This is a non-coding RNA of Oncorhynchus mykiss (rainbow trout), 1265 nucleotides long. The record is from RefSeq and is a predicted model, not a curated record. Lineage: Eukaryota; Metazoa; Chordata; Actinopteri; Salmoniformes; Salmonidae.
GACAGGGAUAGGUUUGGAUGUGGUGGGAUAAGACUGUUAAUGCAGACAGGGCUAGGUUUAGAUAUGGUGGGAUAAGACUGUUAAUGCAGACAGGGAUAGGUUUAGAUAUGGUGGGAUAAGACAGGGCUAGGUUUGGAUAUGGUGGGAUAAGACUGUUAAUGCAGACAGAGAUAUGGUGGGAUAAGACUGUUAAUGCAGACAGGGAUAGGUUUGGAUGUGGUGGGAUAAGACUGUUAAUGCAGACAGGGAUAGGUUUGGAUAUGGUGGGAUAAGACGGGGCUAGGUUUAGAUAUGGUGGGAUAAGACUGUUAAUGCAGACAGGGGUAGGUUUGGAUAUGGUGGGAUAAGACUGUUAAUGCAGACAGGGAUAGGUUUGGAUAUGGUGGGAUAAGACUGUUAAUGCAGACAGGGAUAGGUUUAGAUAUGGUGGGAUAAGACUGUUAAUGCAGACAGGGAUAGGUUUGGAUGUGGUGGGAUAAGACUGUUAAUGCAGACAGAGAUAUGGUGGGAUAAGACAGGGCUAGGUUUAGAUAUGGUGGGAUAAGACAGGGCUAGGUUUAGAUAUGGUGGGAUAAGACUGUUAAUGCAGACAGGGAUAGGUUUGGAUAUGGUGGGAUAAGACUGUUAAUGCAGACAGGGAUAGGUUUGGAUAUGGUGGGAUAAGACUGUUAAUGCAGACAGGGAUAGGUUUAGAUAUGGUGGGAUAAGACAGGGCUAGGUUUAGAUAUGGUGGGAUAAGACUGUUAAUGCAGACAGGGAUAGGUUUAGAUAUGGUGGAAUAAGACAGGGCUAGGUUUAGAUAUGGUGGGAUAAGACUGUGUUAAUGCAGACAGGGCUAGGUUUAGAUAUGGUGGGAUAAGACUGUGUUAAUGCAGACAGAGCUAGGUUUAGAUAUGGUGGGAUAAGACUGUGUUAGGUUUAGAUAUGGUGGGAUAAGACUGUGUUAGGUUUAGAUAUGGUGGGAUAAGACUGUGUUAAUGCAGACUGGGAUAGGAUUAGAUAUGGUGGGAUAAGACUGUUAAUGCAGACAGGGCUAGGUUUAGAUAUGGUGGGAUAAGACUGUGUUAAUGCAGACAGGGCUAGGUUUAGAUAUGGUGGGAUAAGACUGUUAAUGCAGACAGGGCUAGGUUUAGAUAUGGAGGGAUAAGACUGUUAAUGCAGACAGGGCUAGGUUUAGAUAUGGAGGGAUAAGACUGUGUUAAUGCAGACAGGGCUAGGUUUAGAUAUGGUGGGAUAAGACUGUGUUAAUGCAGACAUGUAGAAAG